Pteronotus mesoamericanus is the source of this 164-nucleotide small nuclear RNA. RefSeq annotates it as U1 spliceosomal RNA. The transcript has a single exon. The record is from RefSeq and is a predicted model, not a curated record. NCBI's taxonomy places the organism in Eukaryota, Metazoa, Chordata, Mammalia, Chiroptera, Mormoopidae.
AAACUUACCUGGCAGGGGAGAUACCAUGAUCACAAAGGUGGUUUUCCCAAGGCGAGGCUUAUCCACUGCACUUCCCGGAUGUGCUGGCCCCUGCGAUUUCCCCAAACAUGGGAAACUCAACUGCAUAAUUUGUGGUAGUGGAGGACUGAAUUCACAGUCUCCCC